Molecule: ribosomal RNA, 449 nt
Filed under: uncultured bacterium
Lineage: Bacteria
Description: partial 16S ribosomal RNA
Rfam family: Bacterial small subunit ribosomal RNA
Source: RNAcentral
AACGAACGCUGGCGGCAUGCCUAACACAUGCAUGUCGAACGAGAUCUUCGGGUCUAGUGGCGCACGGGUGCGUAACGCGUGGGAAUCUGCCCUUUGGUUCGGAAUAACAGUUGGAAACGACUACUAAUACCGGAUGAUGACGAAAGCCCAAAGAUUUAUCGCCAGAGGAUGAGCCCGCGUAGGAUUAGCUAGUUGGUGUGGUAAGGGCGCACCAAGGCGACGAUCCUUAGCUGGUCUGAGAGGAUGAUCAGCCACACUGGGACUGAGACACGGCCCAGACUCCUACGGGAGGCAGCAGUGGGGAAUAUUGGACAAUGGGCGAAAGCCUGAUCCAGCAAUGCCGCGUGAGUGAUGAAGGCCUUAGGGUUGUAAAGCUCUUUUACCCGGGAUGAUAAUGACAGUACCGGGAGAAUAAGCUCCGGCUAACUCCGUGCCAGCCGCCGCCGUAA